ACAAAGUCUCCUUCAACUCCCUUCCCUAACUCUUUGCUGCCUUUCAAUUUUGAAAGGGUUUCCAAAUUUGUUAUCUUUCUCAUUUCUUCUCUUUAUUUUCCUUUUUCACAAAAAAAGUACCCAAUAGACCCUUUUUUUCCUCUUAUCACAGGUCUUGCGGUAUAUAUGACACACGUACAAAGGGGAUGGCCCAGGAACCCUCAUGUGAUUUGUUGAAGGAUUCAGAAUCCAUAUUUGUACAUUACGCGUUUUGUACAAAGUCUUCUUUUUUUUAAGGAUCUAAGAAAUGCGGGGCGUGGAAAAGACUCAAAAUACCUUGUUUCGUCAUUUUUUUGAAUUGACAUAAACUCAAGUCAUCUAAUAAAAUA
This 368-nucleotide unclassified non-coding RNA is filed under the name Geranium sibiricum. Its description in RNAcentral is "partial trnL-trnF intergenic spacer". Lineage: Eukaryota; Viridiplantae; Streptophyta; Magnoliopsida; Geraniales; Geraniaceae. The record is from RNAcentral.